RNAcentral lists this ribosomal RNA (253 nucleotides) under uncultured bacterium. RNAcentral describes it as "partial 16S ribosomal RNA". It matches the Rfam family "Bacterial small subunit ribosomal RNA", at positions 524 to 776 of the family's 1533-position model. The record is from RNAcentral.
UACAGAGGGUGCGAGCGUUGUCCGGAAUCACUGGGCGUAAAGGGCGCGUAGGUGGCGGGCCAAGUCAGUGGUGAAAGCUCGAUGCUCAACAUCGAGUCGGCCACUGAUACUGGUUUGCUUGAGCACUGUAGAGGCAGAUGGAAUUCCGGGUGUAGCGGUGAAAUGCGUAGAUAUCUGGAGGAACACCGGUGGCGAAGGCGGCGUUCUGGACUGCAACUGACACUGAAGAACGAAAGCCAGGGGAGCAAACGGG